GACGCGGGAUUUGCCUGACUCAGGAAACCUAGUUACGACUUCACCCCAAUCACUGACCAUACCUUAGGAACAUGCCUCCCUUGCGGGUUAGCGCUGCUACUUCUAGUACAGCCAGCUUUCGUGAUGUGACGGGCGGUGUGUACAAGGCCCGGGAACGUAUUCACCGCGGCGUGCUGAUCCGCGAUUACUAGCGAUUCCAACUUCAUGCCGGNGAGUUGCAGCCGACAAUCCGAACUGAGACAGGCUUUAUCCGAUUAGCUCCACCUUGCGGUCUCGCGACGGUUUGUACCUGCCAUUGUAGCACGUGUGUGGCCCCAGACAUAUAGGCCAUGCUGACUUGACGUCAUCCCCACCUUCCUCCGGUUUGUCACCGGCAGUCUCUUCAGAGUG
This 390-nucleotide ribosomal RNA is filed under the name unidentified eubacterium 92R6. RNAcentral's name for it is "partial 16S ribosomal RNA". The record is from RNAcentral.